UGAGACCCUCUUUGCCACAUUUUAUUCCUCUUUGUCCAUUGUAAGCCAUCAAAGGGGGAGUCGGUGUGUUUCGUAUGGGCUUCCCAAAGGAUGCAGAAAAGUAGGGCAGAGCAACGUAGAUCCAAACUUGGAGAACUUGAACAAACCCAUCUAUGGUAUAACAAUUGCUUGUCAAAUCUUUGAACUUCACAGAGUCCAUCAACCACUUAAAAGCCAAUCUCCCCAUGGGUAUGUCUCAAAUUCAUGUAAAUUCAACACUCUUGCAGGCAUCGCCCGUGUAGGUGAUAUACCUUGGAUUUGACCCAUUUUUAUCCAUGGUAUAUAAGUAUUUUACUAUAUAUAUAUAUAUAUCUAUGUUUUCUACUCUUCUAGGUAUGUUUUCAGGUUCUGGUGCAUUUCGGAGUAAAGCUAUGACUUUGGAGCAUUUUGGA
Molecule: long non-coding RNA, 431 nt
Filed under: Brassica napus (rape)
Lineage: Eukaryota; Viridiplantae; Streptophyta; Magnoliopsida; Brassicales; Brassicaceae
Description: long non-coding RNA (BNAP_LNC003921)
Source: RNAcentral